Long non-coding RNA from Dendroctonus ponderosae (mountain pine beetle), 429 nucleotides. RefSeq lists it as uncharacterized. NCBI's taxonomy places the organism in Eukaryota, Metazoa, Arthropoda, Insecta, Coleoptera, Curculionidae. The record is from RefSeq and is a predicted model, not a curated record. The transcript has 2 exons.
ACAAUGGGAUCGGCUUCAUGUCAUUAGAUUUUGGUGUGUUUGACAAAUGCGUAUUUUGUUACAACGAAAAAAUUGUUUUCAUCUUCAAUGUUCUUCUUCGAGAUCUUCCAGGUAGUCCAGAAGAACCAACACCCAAGCAGAGAUUUGCCAUUUUGGAAUAUGGAUAGUUUAACGCGGGGAAGACAUUUAAAUGAUAUUGUUGUUCACGUAUAUUGGGCAAGGUGUUUUUUCACUUUACCUUUCCAAGCAUAAAAUGGACAACCCUGUACAAUGCUUUGGCUUGGCUUGGAUAGUUUGAAGCUGCAUUGAAAAUGUGGGGAAUGCGAUAACUUCCGAGAAAACUCCAGAAGACGUUGGUGAUUCGCGAAGAACUUUUACCAUAGCAAUAAAUUAUUGUGCAAACUGUCCAAAAAGCCCAUAUAGUAUAAA